UAUGUGUUUGUCUGUUUGCUCUGUCUAUGUGUUGUCCUUGCUCUUUGUCUAGGUGUUUGUCCUGUUUGCUCUUGUUCUAUGGUGUGUGUCCUGUUUGCUCUUGUUCUAUAGUGUUUGUCCUGUUUGCUCUUGUUCUAUAGUGUUUGUCCUGUUUGCUCUUGUUCUAUAGUGUUUGUCCUGUUUGCUCUUGUUCUAUGGUGUUUGUCCUGUUUGCUCUUGUUCUAUGGUGUUUGUUCUGUCCUGUGUGGUUCAGUGAACUGUGGGAGGCCUGAUGUGGACUAUAACGGGAUGGUGUACGGGAACGACUGGUGGGUGGGCUCAGUUGUCCGGUAUGCCUGUCGCUCUGGCUUCCUAUUGGUGGGGGACCCUGCCCGAGCCUGCCAGUCCAAUGGAGGCUGGACCCCCAAACCCUCCUGUCUCAGGGUGUGUCAUCAGGGCCGCGUGGAGAUCACUGAGAAGGAGCUAGAAACAGCUACCUGCUCCUCCACCUGUCCCCUUAAGUCCUACAUGGGGCCUCUUAAGCAGGGCUGCUACGGCAUCGACAACUGCAGGAAGAUGAAUCCUGACUGGAAGCGCUGGUUCACCCGCUGUGACACGUGCCUGUGUGAUUGCCACAUCGCCUGUGUCAUGGUCUGGGUCCUCCAGUCUCCUCAUGGGCCCCAAUAGUACUCCCCCUUCCACCACCGAGCUGGAGUAGACCUGACCAACCAAUUCUCCAUUGGACAAGCUCACUCUCACACAGACAGCCUGAUAGGCACUGCCACCCUCACUGGACCUACAAGAUGCAACAAGAACCCAAGAUAAUGAAGGCUUAUUAUGACCCUUCAAGUGGGUAUGUACUCUUUAGUGUUCAAUAUGAAACCAUGAUAACCGUAAAUUAAAAGACAUGUAAUAGCAUUAUGUAGUAUUAGUGACAGUUUAAUGUGUACGCUGACAUUUACUUUCAUAUUCAAUCAACCGACAUGAGCGAUACUGUUUGCAGGACAUGACCUACAGCAACACAAUAUAUAGAUGUGAAUGUGGCACUAUAGCUGUAAUAUGUCAGAGCACCCAAUAAAUAUAAUUGGAACUCACCUCCCUGUGCGAGUGUCCCCAGUAUCAACAGCUGCAGAAGAGCCACAGAGAGGAGAGUUGUAAGUCCUGGUGCCAUUAUGAUGAUACUACCUGCGUCUCAAAUCCAGAUGUCUCUUGCUUUGUCACACACACACACACAAGAGCACUUCUUCAACUGUACCUGACUCCAGUGAUCCCCGUUUGAGCACAUUCCAGCCCCAUGUUGCCAUAGUUUAUGUUUCUUAUUUAUCUAUUCAGCAAAAGGCAUUGUGGAAUAAGGUCAACACGCUCUUUAAGAACUCACGCGUAUGACAAAUCAAGACUCCUAAGAAAAUAGCUUUUCUUUCAAAUGUUCCCUUUUGCUCCAUUUAAGAACUUUUUUCACAAGGCCAUUCUUCAAGCAUAUUGUGAAUAGAAAGUGAUGUUAGCUUGUCAUUGAUAUAAUAAAGCAGAAAUCUGCAUUGACGUUGAGUAAUGAUCUAUCUUCGCCCUCUGAUCCUGUGUUCCCUCAGAUGGCAUGGUGAAAUAUGAGGUGAAUACAAUAUAAAGGUAAAGAGCCUGGAGACAGUGGACACUAAGUGGACUUAAUCCUUCCUCAGAUAUAACCUCGGGGAGCUUUAUGCUCUAUUCUAAUGCAUUAAUAUCCUUAUUUAAAUUAGCAGUUUUCUGAAGGCUUUGCAAUGACUGUAUUGUUGAAACAUGUUUUUCUGCAGUUUUCCAGAAUCCAGAGUUUCAAUACUGGCCAAAACAUGAUAUAUUAUUGUUAAAGCUUUUCCUAGCAUUGCUGUGUUGUGCUCAAUGUCAACAAUCUCAAAAUAACCCAUGACUGUGUUAAUAUCUAUAAUAACCACAUGGUGUUGCUGCAGUCCCAACACCAAAACAUUAAAGGCUUGGAAAC
This is a long non-coding RNA of Oncorhynchus tshawytscha (Chinook salmon), 1951 nucleotides long. Lineage: Eukaryota; Metazoa; Chordata; Actinopteri; Salmoniformes; Salmonidae. The record is from Ensembl.